AAUGAACGCUGGCGGCAGGCCUAACACAUGCAAGUCGAACGGAUCCUUCGGGAUUAGUGGCGGACGGGUGAGUAACGCGUGGGAACAUACCCUUUGGUACGGAAUAGCCUCGGGAAACUGGGAGUAAUACCGUAUGUGGUCGAGAGACGAAAGAAUUAUCGCCAAAGGAUUGGCCCGCGUUGGAUUAGGUAGUUGGUGGGGUAAUGGCCUACCAAGCCGACGAUCCAUAGCUGGUUUGAGAGGAUGAUCAGCCACACUGGGACUGAGACACGGCCCAGACUCCUACGGGAGGCAGCAGUGGGGAAUCUUAGACAAUGGGGGAAACCCUGAUCUAGCCAUGCCGCGUGAUCGAUGAAGGCCUUAGGGUUGUAAAGAUCCUUCAGGUGGGAAGAUAAUGACUGUACCACCAGAAGAAGCCCCGGCUAACUCCGUGCCAGCAGCCGCCGUAA
Molecule: ribosomal RNA, 449 nt
Filed under: uncultured bacterium
Lineage: Bacteria
Description: partial 16S ribosomal RNA
Rfam family: Bacterial small subunit ribosomal RNA
Source: RNAcentral